Molecule: ribosomal RNA, 472 nt
Filed under: uncultured bacterium
Lineage: Bacteria
Description: bacterial SSU rRNA
Rfam family: Bacterial small subunit ribosomal RNA
Source: RNAcentral
UUGAACGCUGGCGGUAUGCUUAACACAUGCAAGUCGAACGGGGGUAGUAAUACCCUAGUGGCGGACGGGUGAGUAAUGCAUGGGAAUCUGCCUGCUAGUGGGGGACAACGCGGGGAAACUCGCGCUAAUACCGCAUACGCCCUACGGGGGCAAGAGGGGGAUCUUCGUACCUCUUGCUAUCAGAUGAGCCCAUGUCGGAUUAGCUAGUUGGUAGGUUAAAGGCCUACCAAGGCGACGAUCCGUAGCUGGUCUGAGAGGACGAUCAGCCACACUGGGACUGAGACACGGCCCAGACUCCUACGGGAGGCAGCAGUGGGGAAUAUUGGACAAUGGGGGCAACCCUGAUCCAGCAAUGCCGCGUGUGGGAAGAAGGCCUGCGGGUUGUAAAGCACUUUCAGUUGGAAAGAAAAGCCUGAGGCUAAUAUCCUUGGGUCUUGACGUUACCAACAGAAGAAGCACCGGCUAACUCCGU